UACAGAGGCCUCGAGCGUUAGGCGGAAUCACUGGGCUUAAAGCGUGUGUAGGCGGACUUCUAAGUACCUUGUGAAAUCCCACGGCUCAACCGUGGAACUGCUUGGUAUACUGGUUGUCUUGGGCCAUCUAGGGGCUAGCGGAACAAACGGUGGAGCGGUGAAAUGCGUAGAUAUCGUUUGGAACGCCAAUGGUGAAAACAGCUAGCUGGGGAUGUGCCGACGCUGAGACACGAAAGCCAGGGGAGCGAACGGG
Molecule: ribosomal RNA, 253 nt
Filed under: uncultured bacterium
Lineage: Bacteria
Description: partial 16S ribosomal RNA
Rfam family: Bacterial small subunit ribosomal RNA
Source: RNAcentral